UAGCGUAGGGGGCAAGCGUUUGUCCGGGAUUUAUUGGGCGUAAAGAGCGUGGUAGGCGGCCAUACAGGUCAGCUGUGAAAACUCGAGGCUCAACCUUGGGCCUGCAAUCGAUACGGGCAGACUAGGAGUACUGCAGGGGAGACUGGAAUUCCUGGUGUAGCGGUGGAAUGCGCAGAGUAUCAGGAGGAACACCGGUGGCGAAGGCGGGUCUCUGGGCAGUAACUGACGCUGGAGGAGCGAAAGCGUGGGGAGCGAACAGG
Molecule: ribosomal RNA, 260 nt
Filed under: uncultured bacterium
Lineage: Bacteria
Description: partial 16S ribosomal RNA
Rfam family: Bacterial small subunit ribosomal RNA
Source: RNAcentral